AAACUAUUAGACGGAUAGCUUGGCUUAAAUUUUGAUGAAGGACGUGGCAAGCUGCGAUAUGCUCGGGCGAGGUGCAUGCAACCUUUGACCCCGAGAUCUCCGAAUGUGAAACACAUUAAUGCCGAGAGGCAGAGCUACGCCGGGAAUUGAAACAUCUUAGUACCGGCAGGAAAAGAAAAUAAUAAUGAUUUCCUUACUAGCAGCGAGCGAAAAGGAAACAGGGCAAACCGAAUCUGCUUUAGAAAUGAAGUUAGAGAUGUGGUGAGAUAUAAUGACUAAGUCGUUGAGCUGAAGUUCUCUGGAAAGAGACGCUUUAGAGGGUGAUAGCCCCGUAAGCAAAAGCGAUAUGUCAGUUCUUAAAAGAGUAGGGCGACUUGGAUUAGUCGUCUGAAUAUGGCAGAAUUAACUGCUAACCCUAAAUAGUAAUUUAAGUCCGAUAGCGAACGAGUACCGCGAGGGAAAGCUGAAAAGUACUCUCACAAGAGAGUUAAAAGACUUGAAAUCUAAUAGUUACAAAAUAGCUACGGCUCUACGGAGUUGUAGCGUGCGUUUUGAAGAACGAGCCAGGGAGUUUAUUUUUGUGGCAAGGUUAAUUAAGGAAGCCGAAGCGAAAGCAAGUACGAAAUUGCGUUAGUCACAAGGGUAAGACCUGAAGCCAGAUGAUCUAUUCCUGAGCAGGAUGAAGUUUUUUGAAAGAGAAAUGGAGGUCCGAACCGGUGUUACGUGCAUGUACUCGGAUGACUUGGGAAUAGGGGUGAAAAGCCAUUCUAAUCUGGCGAUAGCUGGUUCCUGCUGAAAUAUGCCUUGGUAUAGUUGAGUACAGUUCGUUUAUGGGGUAUAGUACAGAUAAGUUUCGCAGAACCUUAUGGUUACGGAAACUUUUCUAACUCAGAACCUAUAAACUGCGUAAUACUCGAAACAGCGACGGUAUGUAAGAUACCGUUACGAAACCGGAACAACGGAGCCCGAAGUUAAGGUCCCAAAAUGUUUGCUAAGUGUAACGAAGGGAGUCUUCAUUCUGAGACAGUGGGGAUGUAGGUCUAGAAGCCGCCAUCAUUUAAAGAAAGCGUAACAGCUCACCCAUUGAGAAUGGAGGCCCCGAAAAUGGACGGGGCUAAAGCAAACUACCGAUACUUCGGAUACAUCCAGUUGGAUGUUAUGGUAAGCAGGCGUAUUAGUUGCGUAGAAGUCUCAACGUAAGUUGGGUUGGAGCGACUAGUAAUGCGAAUCCUGGUGUUAGUAGGAUCUGAUCUUUCUGAGAACCGAAAGACGUCGAAAGAGUACGGUUUCCUUGGCACUAUCAAUUAGCCAAGGGUUAGUCUGCACCUAAGUCACACCUUAACUGAAUGUGACGACGGAUAACAGGUUAAUAUUCCUGUACUUAUUGUUUUUGCUAAGUUCUUGAAUCGCUUUCGGAUAAGUGGAGUGCCGAGAGGUACAACGAAGGAGAAAUUUAUGGAUUGUAAUGAAGAGAAGUUUAUGAAUCCUCGUGAAUCCGCUGAGUCCAAGAGUCAGUGAAAAGUUCAAGAAAUAGAAAGCAGUGAGCAGUACCAAGAACUGGCACUGGUACUCUAGCUGAGAAGGCUAAGACGUGAAGGGUUAAUCAAGUUAAGGGAAUUCGGCAUAAAUAGUCCCGUAUCUUCGGUAGAAGGGAUGUCUAUUCUUUUGUAUGAUUCAUUGUAUGGGGGAGUAGAUCUCAGUAACAAGGAUGGCACGACUGUUUACCAAAAACGUAGCUAAGCGCAAUUCCGAAAGGACGAGUAUGCUUGGUGAAGUCUGCCCAGUGGUGGUGUCCAAACACCGGUUUCAACCGGUCGAAGGCCCAUCAAACGGCGGGCCUAACUAUGAGGCUCUUAAGGUAGCGUAAUGCCUUGUCGUCUGAAUGGCGACGUGCAUGAACGGCUUAACGAUGUUGUCACUGUCCCUAACUUGCACCCUCCGAAAUCAUUUACCGGUGAAAAGGCCGGUGUCGUCUAGUGGGAAGCGAAGACCUUGUAGACCUUUACUGCAACCUGUUGUUGUGAACUUAUUAUGAUUGCCCAGAGUAGGUAGGAGCGUUGAAACCUGAAUUCCGGUUCAGGUGGAGCAAAAGUGUAACACUACCCAAUUUUAAUAGGUCCACUAACCUUACUGGGACAGCAAUUGGCGGGCAGUUUGGCUGGGGCGGCACCCCGCAGAAAAGAUAUCUGUGGGGCCCAAAGACAAACUCAUCCAGUUCGGAAAUCUGGAGUAGAGUGUAAAGGCAAAAGUUUGUCUGACUGUAUUUUGAAAAGCAAGGAAUGCAGGAAUGAAAGUUGGGCUUAACGAACCAUCGAUGAUUUUUAAUGGAUCACGAUGAUGUCAGAAAAGGUACCUCAAGGAUAACAGGCUUGUCGCCCCCGAUAGUUCACAUUGACGGGGCGGUUUGGUACAUCGCUGUCGGCUCUUCCUAUCCUGGAUGUGCACAAGCAUCCAAGGGUGUCGGAGUUCACGCAUUAAAAGGGAUCGUUAGCUGGGUUAAGAACGUCGUGAGACAGUUUGUAUGAUAUCUACUAGAUGUGUCGUUGUUUGAGUGGAAGGACCCUCCAGUACGAGAGGAACGUGGGUUCGGAGCCUCUGGUCUACCAGUUGUUAUGAGCAGGCUGGGCAGCUACGCUCUAUCCGAUAAGUGCUGAAAGCAUCUAAGCACGAAGCGGACCGCAAAACGAAACAACAUAAGCCGCAGUAAAAGACUGCGUUGAUAGAGACGGAAUGUAAGCAUUGAGCUUUCGCGAUUUGUUCAGUUCGCGUCUACUAAAAGCUACAAAUAUUUAUC
RNAcentral lists this ribosomal RNA (2794 nucleotides) under Deltaproteobacteria bacterium. Its description in RNAcentral is "bacterial LSU rRNA". It matches the Rfam family "Archaeal large subunit ribosomal RNA". Lineage: Bacteria; Pseudomonadati; Myxococcota; Myxococcia. The record is from RNAcentral.